UGAACGCUGGCGGCGUGCUUAACACAUGCAAGUCGUACGAGAACGCUCUAGCUUGCUAGAGCAAGUAAAGUGGCGCACGGGUGAGUAACGCGUGGGUAAUCUACCUUCGAAUUGGGGAUAACGUUGCGAAAGCGACGCUAAUACCGAAUGACAUCCAUAAAGCUUUGGUUUCUUGGAUCAAAGGUGGCCUCUACAUGUAAGCUACUGUUUGAAGAUGAGCCCGCGUACCAUUAGCUAGUUGGCAGGGUAAUGGCCUACCAAGGCAACGAUGGUUAGCUGGUCUGAGAGGAUGAUCAGCCACACUGGAACUGACACACGGUCCAGACUCCUACGGGAGGCAGCAGUGAGGAAUUUUGCGCAAUGGGGGAAACCCUGACGCAGCAACGCCGCGUGAGUGAUGAAGGCUUUCGGGUCGUAAAGCUCUGUCAAGUGGGAAGAACCUGCAGUAUGUUAAUAUCAUAUUGCACUGACGGUACCACUGAAGGAAGCACCGGCUAACUCC
RNAcentral lists this ribosomal RNA (502 nucleotides) under uncultured bacterium. RNAcentral's name for it is "bacterial SSU rRNA". It matches the Rfam family "Bacterial small subunit ribosomal RNA", at positions 30 to 504 of the family's 1533-position model. The record is from RNAcentral.